UGAGUAACCUGCCCUUGACUCUGGGAUAAGCGUUGGAAACGACGUCUAAUACCGGAUACGAGCUUCAGUCGCAUGACUAGGAGCUGGAAAGAAUUUCGGUCAAGGAUGGACUCGCGGCCUAUCAGCUAGUUGGUGAGGUAACGGCCCACAAGGCGACGACGGGUAGCCGGCCUGAGAGGGUGACCGGCCACACUGGGACUGAGACACGGUCCAGACCUCCGUACGGGAGCAG
This 232-nucleotide ribosomal RNA is filed under the name uncultured bacterium. RNAcentral describes it as "partial 16S ribosomal RNA". It matches the Rfam family "Bacterial small subunit ribosomal RNA", at positions 118 to 347 of the family's 1533-position model. The record is from RNAcentral.